This is a non-coding RNA of Delphinapterus leucas (beluga whale), 8440 nucleotides long. The record is from RefSeq and is a predicted model, not a curated record. NCBI's taxonomy places the organism in Eukaryota, Metazoa, Chordata, Mammalia, Artiodactyla, Monodontidae.
GGCGUCGGCCAUUUUGUGGCUGUUUCCUGUGGGACACAGAGGUGGCGGUUGGGUCGGAAGAGUGAGAGACUGUUUGGCUAGUUUUUCCUGCUUGUUUUCUCCUUUUUUUUUCUGUCGGUAGAGCGCAGUUAUGGGUCGCAAGAAGAAGAAGCAGCUGAAGCCGUGGUGCUGGUAUUGUAAUAGAGAUUUUGAUGAUGAGAAGAUCCUUAUACAGCACCAAAAAGCAAAGCAUUUUAAAUGUCAUAUAUGUCAUAAGAAAUUGUAUACAGGACCUGGCUUAGCUAUUCAUUGCAUGCAGGUGCAUAAAGAGACAAUAGAUGCAGUACCAAAUGCAAUACCUGGGAGAACAGACAUAGAGUUGGAAAUAUAUGGUAUGGAAGGUAUUCCAGAAAAAGACAUGGAUGAAAGAAGACGACUUCUUGAACAGAAAACACAAGCAGAGAGUCAAAAAAAGAAGCAACAAGAGGAUUCUGAUGAAUAUGAUGAUGAUGACUCUGCAGCUUCAACUUCAUUUCAACCACAGCCUGUUCAACCUCAACAAGGUUAUAUCCCCCCAAUGGCACAACCAGGACUACCACCAGUUCCAGGAGCACCAGGAAUGCCUCCAGGCAUACCUCCAUUAAUGCCAGGUGUUCCUCCUCUGAUGCCAGGAAUGCCACCAGUUAUGCCAGGAAUGCCACCUGGAUUGCAUCAUCAGAGAAAAUACACCCAGUCAUUUUGCGGUGAAAACAUAAUGAUGCCAAUGGGUGGAAUGAUGCCACCUGGACCGGGAAUACCACCUCUGAUGCCUGGUAUGCCACCAGGUAUGCCCCCUCCUGUUCCACGUCCUGGAAUUCCUCCAAUGACUCAAGCACAGGCUGUUUCAGCGCCAGGUAUUCUUAACAGACCACCUGCACCAACAGCAACAGUUCCAGCUCCACAGCCUCCAGUUACUAAGCCUCUUUUCCCCAGUGCAGGACAGAUGGGGACACCUGUAACAAGCUCAAGUACAGCUUCAUCCAAUUCAGAAAGUCUGUCUGCGUCUUCUAAAGCUCUGUUUCCUAGCGCAGCACAAGCUCAGGCAGCUGUCCAAGGACCUGUUGGUACAGAUUUCAAGCCCUUAAAUAGUACCCCUGCAACAACUACAGAACCCCCAAAGCCUACAUUCCCUGCAUAUACACAGUCUACAGCUUCAACCACUAGUACAACAAAUAGCACUGCAGCUAAACCAGCAGCUUCAAUAACAAGUAAGCCUGCUACACUUACGACGACCAGUGCAACCAGUAAGUUGAUCCAUCCAGAUGAGGAUAUAUCGCUGGAAGAGAGAAGAGCACAGUUACCUAAAUAUCAACGUAAUCUUCCUCGACCAGGACAGGCUCCCAUUGGUAAUCCACCUGUUGGACCAAUUGGAGGUAUGAUGCCACCACAGCCAGGCAUCCCACAGCAACAAGGAAUGAGACCCCCGAUGCCGCCUCAUGGUCAGUAUGGUGGUCAUCAUCAAGGCAUGCCAGGUUAUCUUCCUGGUGCUAUGCCGCCGUAUGGGCAGGGACCGCCAAUGGUGCCCCCUUACCAAGGUGGGCCUCCUCGACCUCCGAUGGGAAUGAGACCUCCUGUAAUGUCGCAAGGUGGCCGUUACUGAUCUUACUUCAUCCAGUCUAAUAGCCCUGCCAUAGGACAGGCUGAGGCUGAGUCUCAGUGUUGCCCUGUUCAGUCUGAGGCAAGUGGGAUUUAUUUUAUUCCUUAUAGGGGCUUUCACAGCUUUAUGGCUGUUGGAUAUUCAUGUCCCCAAACUUGCAGCAAGUUUGGUGAAGGCCCCUAAAUUUAAUUAAAUUUAGGAUUUUUAUACUCUUUUGGCAGAGAAGGCUCUAUAUUAAUAUUCACGUUUGACUGUGGUGUUAAUAAACAGAAAGUAUUUGACAUGUAACUUUAUGUAAUUUACUUUGUGUUACGUAAUAUUUAACAGCCUCAGUAAAGGUGAUGUUAUUUAUAUUGAACUUGAGUAAAUUGACAAAAUUUGACGUUCUUGAUUUGGAGGCAUGAAAUGUUUCAUUCAAAUUUUCCCUUUCACUUUUAGGAAAAUCUUACUGGUUAUUUUCUCCUCAAACUAUUAAAUUUAACCUCAAGGAUAAUAAUCAUUGGAAAUGCCACUGGAUACUGAAAUCUGCAUUUUUAAUCCCAAAGUUAUGCAUUGAACGUUAAGGUUGAAAGGUCAUCUGGAAAUGCUUGUGACUUUUAAUAUUUCCAAAUUUCACCACAUUAGAGCAAAUGUUAAUGUAGAGCCCUGUGAAAAGUGGGAAGAUGGUGUGUAUGUGUGGUAUGUAUGCGUAUACACUACACAUUUGAUAUAAUAAAAGAGUUUGGGUAUUACACACUUAUCAGUAUGGAUGGAUUACAAAUUUUCAGGCAGCCAAACUGAAAUUGUUUCACAUAGUAAAGUUUAGUAUAUUGAAUUGUGGUUUUGGAACGAUUAUUUUGAGUUUCAUUUUUAGCCUUACUGAACAAUAAUUUGAUGCAAUAUGCACACAUGAAAAACACCCGUGUUUGUUUCCAACUAAAAAUUGUUUUUAUUCGGUGGAAAAAGUUGUGUUUAUGUGUGUAUGUUGUAGUGGGCAAGUAACAGGGGAACUGAAAGAGAGGCCAAAACAUUAACUUGGAUUACUUUUGUUCCUUCCCGUGUUAAAGCCACUGUUCUAUGCAGAUAGCAUUUUCCUCUGAACAGUAACAGUUCACUUAUAGUACAAUGUUUAGCAAACCCAGGCUUGUGUUUCUAUGUGGUUUUAAUUCUUGGAAACAAAGAAGAAAAACGAAUUAAAUGAAUUCCAAAUUUUCACCUCUGUAAUUGGAAUAUAAGCUUUUCUCUGUAACUGAAUCAUGGAAAAAAGAUAAUUAACAUUUGAGAAAAGAAUUGUGUCACAACAAAAAAAUUCCACUGGAAUAUUUUACUACCUGCUCAAUAACUGCAUCUUUUAAGACUCCUCAGUUGGAGUUGUUUUCUGUUGCAUCCAUCAUUCCCCAAUAUACUGAAAUAUUCAAGAGUGAAGUUGCUUGUCCUAAUUCUAAUAGUGAUCAUUGAAAUAAUUAUAAUUGAAAUACCCUCUUAAAUGCUUGAGUACUGGGGUGGGAGGGAUUUUCUAAGGGAGACAUAAUUUGUUGAAGGUGAUACAGAUAUCUAAGAUGUAGGUUCUUCGAUCUUUGUAGUCCUCUGACUCAGACAAAUACAGUUUUGAGAAUAACUUUCAGGUAUCUAUUAUAUCCACAGGUAAAACUUGGUAAAUUACUGAAAGGAAAUGUUGAAGUCACUUCUUUACUGAGAUGAAAUUUUGUUUAAGUAAACUGACACUUGUAUCGGUUAGGGGAUUUUUUAAAAAGUAGUAAACAUGUUCCCUAAAAUUUUGUGUAAAUCAAGUAUGUCUUUUUUUAAAGGUGGUAUUUAUCUACCUUAUUGAAUAACCUUUGUAUGUUAUUCCAAAAUGAAACUGGUUUUCUUACUCUUUUAUGGAAGUCUUCUAAAAGAAGAGAUUCAUUAUAAGACUAUUGACUAUAAGGCAGAGUUUUGUAAGUAAACAUUCUCCCAUUUAUACUUCUGCUAUCUCAUGAUUUGAAUAUUAGUAUAGGUUAUUCCUUUUUAGCCUUCUUUCUCAGUAUUUUGUUUUCUGUCAUCUGAAUCAUUUUAAUAAAUGAUCUUUUGUUUUAGUAGCAUAGCAAUCAUCUGAUAUUUCUUGGCAAAAUAAGCAGCUACUUUAAUGAUGUUAUAUAUAGUGUCAUGCACAUAGUGGAUAUUCACAAUUUUGUAAUUAAUGUUGUAUUUUGAGAACUAUACUUUUAAUAUCUUGGCUCUUAGGCAUUCCCUGUUAUGAAUCUAAUUCAAACUAAUACAUAGCAAAUGGGGAAAGCAGGACCUCAGUUUGAGCUCCCUAAUACUUUAAACAUCUCCAACAUUUCCAAGUGUUUUCAUGUUCUUUUUUUUUGUUUGUUUGUUUUUGUUUUCAUGUUCUUACUUGGCAUUUUUGUAGGAAAAUAAGCUUGAAAGUAUCAUGUUUUAAAAAACUAGAUUUCUUCAGUAAGGCUCAGAGGAGAAUUGUUUUUUAUAAGCAUUGUUUUUCUUGCUGUGGACUUCAUACAUUUUUGCAUAAUAAUUUGGCCAUAAAAGAAAGAGCUUUUCAUUUUCUUCCCAACUCUGGAAAAAUAAUAGCUUGAAACUGUAUUAGUUUGAAAUUUUUGAACCAUCUCUCUUUAAAUCUAUUCAACUAAUCUCAUGUAUAUUCUCAGGGGAAAUUACAUUUUACAAGUCAGGAUAUAGAAAUCAUAUUAAGGCAGAAAUUGGAGACCCAAAGGAGAUCUUCACUGAAGCUAAUUUGAACUAUUUCUAUUUGAAGCAAAUUGAACACUGUAUUAUAAAUGAAGACUGGUUCAUGGUUAGGUUCUUUAGGAGGCAAAUAAUCACCAGCUUUAUCAUGAGAAUAUGUUUGUGUAUAUGUUGUAAUUUCGGGCACAUUAACUUACAGAGAAGGUACAUGUGAGUAAACUGUUUUAACAAUUGAUUAGUUGGACCCCAGCCAUUAAUUCCAAAUGCUGUAAUGGUAUGUAAGGUUGUGAUAUGGCACAGUUUCAGUAAUGUGCUGUGUGUUUAGUCAGGGGUUUGUGUAAUGCUUUGUUUGUAAAAAAAGGGGAAGUCCUUUAUUGGAAUUCUCCGGGCCUUUUGGCAUUCUUACUGUGUCUGGGUUUUUUUUUUUUAUCAUUAUUAUAGUUAAGAAUCAUAUGCCUUUGUUUUUGUUUAAAUGUGAGGAACUGGCAGUGAAGUUCAUUGAUGCCCAACUUGGAUAAAAAUGAAGAAUGUUGUUUGCCCAGCUUACUACACACAAACCAGUAGUGAUUAUUUGGGUGAGAGGCCAUUGUACAGUAUCGUUAGACUUUUAAGAACCUUAAAUGUAAUGAAAGGUAAUAGUAUUUUGGCCUUGGUUUACAUUUGUUAUGCAAGAUUUCAUCAAAUCAUUUAUUAUAAUGUAGCUCAUUCUUAAUAUUUUUAUUUAUAAAUAAUUUGGCAAUCAGAUGAAAAUAAACAAGGCUUACCACGUCAUUUUCCAGUUUCUACUAAUAAAACAAGUCUGCCUAACUACCCAAGUGGACCAAGGGAAGCGUUAUUAAAGUUUCUGUAAAUUUGAGUUAGAAAAAUAUGGGAGAUUUAGUUACUGAGCAUAGCCUGCCUUUUAGCUAUUAGCUUGUUAGUGUACUUCUAGGAGAAGCAAUAGAGUGUGCUUUUCAGCCCAUGUGUUUAAAAUGGAAAAUCUUUAAUAUACAGAAAUGAAGUCAAGUAUUUUAGAAGUUGAAUUUAAAAUAUUAAAAAUUGCUUGUUUCUGUGGGAUGUGUCUACAUGUACUUAAAUUAGAAAUUAUCACGCAGAGAUUUUUAUUCCUAGAUAUAUGUACCCCCUCUCCUUUUAGAGUAACCCAUAUCUUUAUAGUACACAUACUGGAAUAUAUAAUUUAUUAAAAUUGAGAGGUGUCCAAGAGAUAUACAGUAUUACUAACUCAUUCUCAUAAGGUCACUCUAAAUUUAAUAGCCAAUAUAAGGUACUUUUUGUAAGACAGGGAAAUUUUUUUUAAUGUAAUAAUGUCAGGCUCUGAGGAAAUUUUAUGCACAUUGACUUUUUAAACUAUGAAUUGAACUCCUCAGUUUAAUACAAUUUGUGUUUUUGUUAACUAGCAGCAGAAUUUCAGCAUUUGCUACUUACUGGUAGAGAAGAAAAAUCCCACAGCCCUGCCAGUACAGGUUAGUUUAAUCUGUAAGUACCUGAUGUUCCUAUUUUUUUCAAACAUACCCAUAUAACCCACACCAGGAAGAAAGCUGUGCAGUUACUUAAAUGUGAGUAUGACACUGGACACUUCUAAACACUCAGUACUUGGGCCAAAGUAGCUCUAGGUUUGCUCACCUGAGUUGUAAUAAAGGUGUAAUACUGCUCCUUUAUUAUCGGGUUACGGUUAAACCUAAAUAGAUAUGUUGUACAUAGAAGGAAGACUGAAAGUUUUAAUUGGCUAUAUGCUCAUGUUGGUAUAUGGAGUACAGGGGUUUGGGUCCAGGGUCUCCUACUUAAGCCGCUCCUUGGUACUCAUACUUACCUUUUAACUUUUUACAGUAUGAAUCAACAGAUAAAAAGUCAAGUUUCCUCACCUCUAGUAGUGAUAAAUGGUGUGCAGUCGUAUGCCAGAAUAUAUUUUUAUGUUGCUUUUUUGUUCUUAGAUAUUUUUAGUAACUCUUGUUGUAAGUACUAAUUUUGUUCAUCCUUUUUGUAAACUAUAACCUGUUGGUGCACCACCACUGUGGGUUCAUUUUAAUUUGAACUAAGAAGAACCUUUUUAAUAUUCAGAUGAAAGCUGACUACCCAUCAAGAAAUCUAGACACAUUCUUUGUAUAUUCCUUUUGAGGAGCAGUGAGGACAUAACAGGUUAUGAAAGUUAUGUUAAAGUUUUUAUUAGUUUCAUUGGUUCUACCAGCGUUCAUUGUUGUCUUGAACCAUCCUUCAGAGAUUUCCUUUAACCUUUAAAUAUUGUGCUCUUAUGUUGAUAAAAAUUUUAAAUACUGAGGAGAGAAGAAGAAAGUAUACAAUUUAGUUUAUACAAGCCUACCUGAACCAUUCUGCUAUUCUGUAUGGCUUCCUCUUCACCUUAAGUGUAAUAUUGUAUAAUGUGAGUCUGUCCGUACAACUACUGAUUUUUUUACUCCUGUUAAACUGGGAUGGUGAUAAAGACCUUGAUUUAUCAACUUAUAAAAUAUAUUUUAUAAGAUAUCCACUUGUUUUUUUAACAUAUAAAAUUGCCUAAGGGCUUAAGUUUCAUUGCCUUUCACAGUUUAAUCUGUAUAAGAAAUGGCGUAGAUACAGUGGAAAUGGUUUUCCUUAAAACCAUCUCUUUAAAGCUGCUUUUCUGGUGAGUACUAUUUUAUACUUUUAUGUAUCACUAUUUUUCCAUUUAAAUUUAACUUAAGUUGGACACUUUGAUCAAAGUGUAUGAGUUUCUACACUCUUAUUACCUGAAUUGAGAAUGUUAAGAAGGUGAUUAUUUUACCUCCUGAUGUUUCUCUAAUAAUUGGGGCUCACUUUUUUCCUGACCUUCACUUAAUAGACUAUAUAACUACAAAAACUUUAACGUGUAAAUGAUUUCUUUUUGGUGAGAUAGGAAAGAUGUUUUUACUCAAAACUAGUGUUAAAAAAUUUUUUAUUUUAACUUAAAAAUUUUUUUAGUUGACAAGCAAAAGUGUUUUUUUUCCUCAAUGCUUUUGGUUGCCAUGUUGCGUAGGUUUAAAAUUUAAAGACCAGAAUUUUUGUCCAGUGAUUCUUGAGUAGUUAAGCUGGGAAUAGAGUUGAAGGAAAGCUUGCCCAAAAUGGUCAUGCAGACUAAUUGCUUACAGGAGUCUCUGAGUGAGGCUUGAGAAUUUCAAAUGUAUUCUUAAAUCAUUCUAACCUUGCAUGAAAAACUUGGGUUGGACUACUGAUUUCUGGGAUUGUGUAUACCCGUGAAAAUUAGCCUGAGCAUAUUUGUAAUUACUUGAUCCCCUGUUAAAUCCCUCCGUCAUUGUAACACAUGGAUUUUUUUCUCUAGCUUUUAGCCACAUCCUACCUAACAUCAGUUUAUCUAAGGAUGUUUUCACAUUGUAUUUCCUGCUGUGAACUUUGUAAGCCAAUAAUAAAAAGUCAGCUCAUGCUUUUUAGUAUGAACAGUGAUAGUCUUCUAAAAUAAAUCUGAAAAUUUGAAUAUGUGAUAAUGGUAAUGUAUUCUUCUAGAUAAGCACUACACAAAGUGUGGACCCUCAAUUUAUGUCUUUAAGAUUUAAAGUGAAGUAAAUUUCUAAGGAACUCUGUCCUUUCCUAGCAAGGAUAAGCAGACACUGAAAAUUUGCUCCAGUUAAAGCUGACAAUAGACAACUGAUCAAAAAUGGGAAAGAAAUCUUUGUGCUCUUCCUGGAGUAUUGUAGGAAUCAUCGUAUAAUAAUAUUAAGCCAAUGCUGGAUUUUCAUGGAAGGAGUGGUUUUUAAAUAAGAGAAAAAGGUGGUGAGAUUUUGGAAUCUCUCCUCCCUGGAACUGCAUUACUAUUAAGAAGAAGAAUAAAUAGAGGUUAAAGUGAAAACAUUGAAUUACUACAGCAGGGAAGGUGAUUUAUAUCUGAGCGUUGGUUGGCUGGAUGAUAUCUUCAGAUACAUUUUUGAGAAGAAGUGUACAUAGCUGGUGUAUUUCUUGACUCUUUGCAUAUUUGAGAACAUUUUUCUGUUGCCUUCAAACGUGAUCAACAGUCUGGAUAAAGAAUUCCCAUCAAUAUUCUAAAUUAACAACAACAGCAAAAAGAAAGUAAAAUUCAAGAAAUGGUUGAACUUCAGUAAAUAUUUCUUCAUUGGAAGAGCUAUUAUUUCCCAGACACUUCAAAGUUAAGAAAAAGGACAUUAAAAACAUUAAAAAAUUGAAAUCAUUGUA